AGCUGGGACUAGGGUAGCUACUUAGCCUCUCCAAACCUGUUUUCUCAUCUCUGAAACAUGGAUGAUAAUAGCAUCUACCUCAUUGGGAUAGUUGAAAGAUUGUUAGCCUAAUGACUGGCACCAAAUUAAAUACAAGAUAAGCAUUGGCUGUGAUUAUUCCCUUACAUUAGCCUGCCUCUCAGAGAGAGAGAUGUAACUAUAUGCAAUAAUCCUGUGUGUAUGGCUGAGCAGUGUCUGUCUAAUCAAAGAAGCAAGGGAGGUCACUAAGCACAGAAGAUACAGCUAGCAAGUUUGUUGAUAUGUGACUAAGGAACCAAGGCAAAGUCCCCCACAACAAAGUUCUCACCUUCUUUGGCAGGACACUGUGGCAUGUCAUGGAUAGCUAGGGGCAGAAUUACAACCGGCUCCCACAGCAACUGCUUGUAAACUGCAGCAAGAGGCUGUUGCCAGUAAGAAUGCAUUGCAAAUAGACCUUAUCCUUCCGUGGUGCUCCCACCAACGUCACUGUUUUAGAGCAGUGGUUCCCAACUUCACCUCCUCAGAUGAUACUCAACAGCAUCAUCUGGGAGCUUUUAUUAUUAUUUAUUUAUUUGUUUUUCAUUACUUAAAGAAUUUUAUUACAUUUAUAGGUGUACAACAAUCAUCACAAUCCAAUUUUAUGGCAUUAUCAUCCCAAACACCCCAGCAUAUCCCCCCACCCCCUAACCUGUCUCUGGGGAGCUUUUAAAAAUGUAGAUUUCUAGACUCCACUCCAGACCAGUUGAACAGGACUCUGGGAGAUUUAGGCAUCUGUAUUCUAGUGGGUGGCAAGGAGUGGGAACCAUUGCCUUAGAGAAGUGAAUCUCAAGCUGGAGUGGGCGUCACAAACCCAUGGAGAGCCUGUUAAAAGCCAGGAUGUUGGACUCCCUGCCCCUCACCCCUACUGCCAGAGUUUCUGAUUCAUUAAAUCUAGGGUGGGAACCAAGUAUCGAUGCCCUUCAACCAAAGACCACCAGGAAGUCACCUAUGGUUAAAUAAGUUGGAUUGAUUAUUCCCCACAGCGAAAGGGAACAGGCCAUGGGGAACUAUAGGUGUGUCUGUCAGAGGAUGUUGGAAAGAUCCUAUAUAAGAUUUGGGCUUCGGUUCAGUGAUUUGAAGGGAGCUUUAAGCAGGUGGGAGUGUGCUCUAAGUUGGAUGCUGUCAGAGAACAGAGGCAAUUCUAUGAGCGGUUAUCUCAACAAGUUUUAUCUUUAAGGAGGAGAGACUCACAGGAGAAUAAACUGUAAUUGGUACAGAAAUGGCAGACGCUUAUUUUGGCCAAGGGAGGGGAUGUUUAAUAACUUGUGGGCUUGCACGAUGACCUUGUUUUUGUCUGUGUUCAGAUAAAUUUAUGAAAUGGCCUUGUUUUGUCUCAUUUUAUCAUGGUCUCAGAGUAACCUUGCAUGUGGUUCUGUGAGAUUGCUUCUGUUCAGUAGGGGAAUAACAUGGCCCACUGGGAGCACCAGGCCAGCUUUCCAAUGUCGUACCCACCUCCCCCUUUUUCCUUUCUCACAAGUUCCAGGUGAUGCUGAUACUACUGGUCCAGAGACCAUCAGACUUUGAGAAUGAUUGUCUGAGAGGAUAAAGAGACCUGAGACCUAUGUUUGGAAAAGGCACAAAAUAAAUAUGCAUGAACAUUAAAGAGCCAGGACCCAGAAUUUCAAGGGAACAACAAAAUAAAAUCAGAAUAAUAUAUCCUGGGAGAUAGUGUAGCUUGGGAAACUGAGUCCAGCAAGACGAGCGCAAUACUCCAACUUUAAGGAAGGAUGAGGCUAGUGUCAUCUGGUUGUGCCCUUCCUCUCAGCUCCCAGUUGCCUUCUUGACCAACUUCCUGCUCAGGGCCUUUGUGCCUACUGUUUUCUUUGCCUGGUAAUGGGCCCAUUUUGACCUCAUUCUUAUUCAUCCUCUAUGUAUCCUUUUUUUAAAAAAAUUAUCAUUGAUUUAUGAUGUUGUGCUAAUUUCUGCUAUACAACAAAGUGACUCAGUCAUACAUAUAUAUAUUCUUUCUUUUUUAAAUGUAUUAUUUCUCUUCUUGGUCUAUCCCCGAAGAGUGGAUAGAUAUAGUUCCAUGUGCUAUACAGUAAGACCUCAUUGCUUAUCCAUUCUAAAUGUAAUAGUUUCCAUCUGCUAAAACAAAACUCCUAGUCCAUCCCAUUCCCUCCCCCUCGGCAACCACAAGUUUGUUCUCUGUGAAUCUGUUUCUGUUGUAUAGAUAACUUCAUUUAUGCCAUAUUUUAGACUCAACAUAUAAGUAAUAUCAUGUUUUGUUUGUCUUUCUCUUUCUGACUUACUUCACUUAGUAUGAGAAUCUUUAGUUCCAUCCAUGUUGUUGCACAUGCCAUUAUUUUGCAUUUUUUAUGACUGAGAGCAUUGCAUUGUGUAUAUGUACUACAUCUUUUUAAUCCAUUCGUCUAUUGAUGGAUAUUUAGGUUGUUUCUAUGUGUUGGUUAUUGUGAAUAGUGCUGCUAUGAACAUAGGGGCACAUGCAUCUUUUUGAAUUACAGUUUUGUCCAGAUCUAUAGCCAGGAGUGGGAUUGAUGAAUCAUAUGGUAGCUCUGUUUUUAAUUUCCUAAGGAACCUCCAUAUUGUUUUCCAUAGUGGCUGCACCAGCUUACAUUCACACCAACAGUGUAGGAAGGUACCUUUUUCUCCACACCUUCUCUAGCAUUUAUUACUGUAGACUUAUUAAUGAUGGCCAUUCUGACCCAUGUGAGGUGGUACCUCAGUAGUUUUGAUUUGCAUUUCUCUAAUAAUUAGUGAUGUUGAACAUUUUUUUAUGUGCCUGCUGGCUUCUUUGGAGAAGUGUCUAUUUAGGUCUUCUGCCCAUUUUUCAAUUGGGUUGUUUGUUUUUUCUUGUUAUGUAACCUUUUAAAAAGUCCCUUCUUCAGAGAGGCCUGGGCAGAGCCCACCACACACAGUAAAUCAUUUUCCCUCUUAAUCACCCUCUCCCCUUUAUUCCAUUUAUCAAUCAUGAUUUAUAAUGCAAUGUUUAUUCUGAUGAUGGUUGAUUUCAUGUCUGUCUCCCCCACUAAACUCUGAGCUCCAUGUGAGUAGAGACGAUGCUUAAUUUGCUCAUCACUGUUUUGUUCCCUUACAGUACUUUUCUGAGAGACCCACUCCCAGCAUGCACUGAAUCACAGAUGAGUCCCUGUUUGCCUUUAUACAGUUCAAUCCAUCCUGCAUAUUUAGGACUUCCCUGGCGGAACAGCAGGUUAAGGAUCUGAUGUUGUCACUGCUGUAGCUCAGAUCAUGGCUGUGGUAUGGGUUCCAUCCUUGGCCCUGGGAACUUCUGCAUACC
This 3316-nucleotide long non-coding RNA is filed under the name Sus scrofa (pig). RNAcentral describes it as "lncRNA (ENSSSCG00000057584.1)". The record is from RNAcentral. Lineage: Eukaryota; Metazoa; Chordata; Mammalia; Artiodactyla; Suidae.